GAAGGCCCUCGGGUUGUAAAGCACUUUCAGCGAGGAAGAACGCCUAUCGGUUAAUACCCGGUAGGAAAGACAUCACUCGCAGAAGAAGCACCGGCUAACUCCGUGCCAGCAGCCGCGGUAAUACGGAGGGUGCAAGCGUUAAUCGGAAUUACUGGGCGUAAAGCGCGCGUAGGUGGCUUGAUAAGCCGGUUGUGAAAGCCCCGGGCUCAACCUGGGAACGGCAUCCGGAACUGUCAGGCUAGAGUGCAGGAGAGGAAGGUAGAAUUCCCGGUGUAGCGGUGAAAUGCGUAGAGAUCGGGAGGANAUACCANGUGGCGAAGGCGGCCUUCUGGACUGACACUGACACUGAGGUGCGAAAGCGUGGGUAGCAAACAGGNAUUNAGAUACCCUGGUAGUCCACGCCGUAAACGAUGUCGACCAGCCGUUGGGUGCCUAGAGCACUUUGUGGCGAAGUUAACGCGAUAAGUCGACCGCCUGGGGAGUACGGCCGCNAAGGUUAAAACUCAAAUGAAUUGACGGGGGCCCGCACAAGCGGUGGAGCAUGUGGUUUAAUUCGAUGCAACGCGAAAAACCUUACCUACCCUUGACAUCUACAGAAGCUCGAAGAGAUUCUGGUGGGCCUUCGGGAAAUGUAAAAAAGGGGCUGCAGUGUUGUCGCCCCC
RNAcentral lists this ribosomal RNA (662 nucleotides) under uncultured bacterium. Its description in RNAcentral is "bacterial SSU rRNA". It matches the Rfam family "Bacterial small subunit ribosomal RNA", at positions 410 to 1059 of the family's 1533-position model. The record is from RNAcentral.